This 194-nucleotide ribosomal RNA is filed under the name uncultured bacterium. Its description in RNAcentral is "partial 16S ribosomal RNA". It matches the Rfam family "Bacterial small subunit ribosomal RNA", at positions 335 to 526 of the family's 1533-position model. The record is from RNAcentral.
ACUCCUACGGGAGGCAGCAGUAAGGAAUAUUGGACAAUGGGCGAAAGCCUGAUCCAGCCAUCCCGCGUGCAGGACGAAGGCCCUCUGGGUUGUAAACUGCUUUUGUCAGGGAAGAAUUGAGUGGAUUUAUCUGCUUUUGACGGUACCUGAAGAAUAAGCACCGGCUAACUCCGUGCCAGCAGCCGCGGUAAUAC